RNAcentral lists this long non-coding RNA (4201 nucleotides) under Homo sapiens (human). Its description in RNAcentral is "HSALNT0190224". Lineage: Eukaryota; Metazoa; Chordata; Mammalia; Primates; Hominidae. The record is from RNAcentral.
GUAAGCGGCCUCUUUUUACUCUCUUCUCCAACCUCCCUCACUAUCCUUCAACCUCUUUCUCCUUUCAUUCUUGGCACCACACUUCAAUCUCUCCCUUCUCUUAAUUUCAAUUCCUUUCGUUUUCUGGUAGAGACAAAGGAGACACGUUUCAUCUGUGGACCCGAAACUCUGGCACCAGUCACGGACUGGGAAGGCAGUCUUCCCUUGGUGUUUAAUCAUUGCAGGGGCACCUCUCUGAUUAUUCACCCACGUUUCAAGGGUGUCAGACCACGCAGGGAUGCCUGCCUUGGUCCUUCACCCUUAGCAGCAAGUCCCACUUUUCUAGGGAAGGGGCAAGUACCCCAACCCCUUCUCUCCUUGUCUCUACCCCUUCUCUGCUUUUCUGGGGAAGGGGCAAGUACCCCAACCCCUUCUCUCCUUGUCUCUACUCCUUCUCUGCUUUUCUGGGGAAGGGGGAAGUACCCCAACCUCUUCUCUCCUUGUCUCUACCCCUUCUCUGCUUUUCUGGGGAAGGGGCAAGUACCCCAACCCCUUCUCUCCUUUUCUCUACCCCUUCUCUGCUUUUCUAGGGGAGGGGCAAGUACCCCUCAACCCCUUCUCCUUCACCCUUAGCAGCAAGUCCCGCUUUUCUAGGGGGGCAAGAACCCCCAAUCCCUUAUUUCCACACCCCGACCUCUUAUCUCUGUGCCCCAAUCCCUUAUUUCCACACCCUGACCUCUUAUCUCUGUGCCCCAAUCCCUUAUUUCUGCACCCCAACCUCUUAUCUCUGUGCCCCAAUUCCUUAUUUCCAUGCCCCAACCCUUUCUCUGCUUUUCUGGAGGGCAAGAAACCCCUACCCCUUCUCCAUGUCUCUACUCUUUUCUCUGGGCUUGCCUCCUUCACUAUGGGCAAGCUUCCACCUUCCAUUCCUCUUUCUUCUCCCUUAGCCUAUAUUCUUAAGAACUUAAAACCUCUUCAACUCUCUCCUGACCUAAAAUCUAAGCAUCUCAUUUUCAUCUGCAAUGCCGCUUGACCCCAAUACAAACUCGACGGUAGUUCCAAAUAGUCGGAAAAUGGCACUUUCAAUUUUUCCAUCCUACAAGAUCUAAAUAAUUCUUGUCGUAAAAUGGGCAAAUGGUCUGAGAUGCCUGACGUCCAGGCAUUCUUUUACACAUCAGUCCCUUCCUAGUCUCUGUGCCCAGUGCAACUCAUCCCAAAUCUUCCUUCUUUCCCUCCCACCUGUCCCCUCAGUCCCAACCCCAAGCAUCGCUGAGUCUUUCUAAUCUUCCUUUUCUACAGACCCAUCUGAUCUCUCCCCUCCUCACCAGGCCAAGCUAGGUCCCAAUUCUUCCUCAGCCUCUGCUCCUCCACCCUAUAAUCUUUUUAUCACCUCCCCUCCUCACACCUGGUCCGGCUUACAGUUUCGUUCUGUGACUAGCCCUCCCCCACCUGCCCCAGCAAUUUACUCUUAAAAAGUGGCUGGAGCCAAAGGCAUAGUCAAGGUUAAUGCUCCUUUUUCUUUAUCCCAAAUCAGAUAGCGUUUAGGCUCUUUUUCAUCAAAUAUAAAAACCCAGCCCAGUUCAUGGCUCAUUUGGCAGCAACCCUGAGACACUUUACAGCCCUAGCCCCUAAAAGGUCAAAAGGCCGUCUUAUUCUCAAUAUACAUUUUAUUACCCAAUCUGCUCCCGACAUUAAAUAAAACCCCAAAAAUUAGAAUCUGGCCUUCAAACCCCACAACAGGACUUAAGUAACCUCACCUUCAAGGUGUACAAUAAUAAAAAAAAAGUUGCAAUUCCUUGCCUCCACUGUAGACAAACCCCAGCCACAUCUCCAGCACACAAGAACUUCCAAACGCCUGAACCACAGCGGCCAGGCAUUCCUCCAGAACCUCCUCCCCCAGGAACUUGCCACAAGUGCCAGAAAUCUGACCACCAGGCCAAGGAAUGCCCACAGCCCAGGAUUCCUCCUAAGCCGUGUCCCAUCUGUGCGGGACACCACUGGAAAUCGGACUGUUCAACUCACCUGGCAGCCACUCCCAGAGCCCCUGGAACUCUGGCCCAAGGCUCUCUGACUGACUCCUUCUUGGCUUAGCGGCUGAAGACUGAUGCUGCCUGAUCGCCUCAGAAGCCCUGUAGACCAUCACAGACGCCGAGCUUUAGGUCCCACUGAAGCUGAAUGACUGUGCAGGUUGAUACACUGGACAUUUUCGGUGAAACCUGUGUGAACAGACAACUGGAGGGUCAGAUGAUUUAUCCUCUCCCCAGUACCUUGGCACAAGCCUAGGCUACAGAAUGAGAUGCACGUAAGAAGUCUGUGACCUGGACCAGAGCAGCCCAGCUGAACACAUGCUGGAUUGGAAGAACCACCUUUGACCUGAAGACCUGUGAGUGAGAAUAAAUGCUGUUUGAGAAAGGAGUUUGGAGACAGAAAGACGGAAGAGUUGAUAUUCCGCUCACAGAUGUCAAUUUUCAAAGAAAUUUCUGCCCAUUAUGGAUGCACCACAAAUACUAAAGUCUAUGCAAUAUAUAUUUUGAAAAGAAUUUUUUUCGUGAAACUGUAAUUUUCGUUCAUAAGAGUAUAUUUCCUGACUUAGCAUUUUAUUGACUAGAUUAAAAUUUUGUUCCCCAAAGUAAGUGUGUGUGUGUGUGUGUGUGUGUGUGUGCACGCACACGUGUGUGUGCAUUCCUGAGGAUUAUUCUAAGGCUGAACUCCUUCAUAGAAAUGGAAUUUUUCUCUCUAUGCUCACAUUUUAAAACAGCUCACACAAGCCAGGCAGAAACUGCCAACCCCUUGGUUUCUAAUUCUUUGUGCUAGUUCUAUUAGAAGGGGCAAGUGUAAUCUGACAAUGGGAAACAAUACACCCUUUCUCAUAUUCUUUAUCAACAUACAUAAACUGGAAGAAAGAAAAAGAAAGAGAGGGGUACAGAGGGAGGAAAGGAGGAAGAAAAAAGAUAGGAGGGGAAGUAGGAAGAGAGGAGAAGGGGACUGUAGUGGGGGAAAGAGAGGAGAGACAGAAUCUUUCCACUAAAGUUAGCAUCUGAGAGAGAGGCCCACGGAAUUGAUUUUUUUUUUUUUAUCCCUUUGGCAAACCAGCAUUUGGUCUUUGCUUUGGUUAUCCUGAGAUAGUGCUUUGUUUACCUGAGCUAGCUGGCCAUCUCAGCUGUGACAAUUUAAAAUUAGGCCACUAUUUAUAAUUCAAGCUAUGUGUAAACAAAACAAAACACAAUACAACCAAUGAAGGAGGUUUGUUUGUUUGUUUUUUUAAAAGGUAGGGGCAUUUUGUAAAUCAGACAGAGAUAGCUUUCUUGAAUAAAAUGACAUUUUUAGUUAUUUCUUUGUCUUGAACUUUCUCCUGAGACACCUUCUGGCUCACUAGUCACGAGGAACUGAAGAGGAACUGAAGGAAUUCUAAACAUCCCCAAAGCCUCUAGUGAUUCUCCAGAUGUGUCUUUUCAAGAGGCUGGCGACUUGUAGGGAGGGUGGAUAUACCUUAAUUAUUCAGUCACUUUUAACGUUUUACCUAAACUAUUUGUCAAAUAAGUAGUUUUUGCAUUGCUUUAACUGUAUACAGCCAUCAUUUGAUUAUACAUUCUAUCAAAGAUUGAUUGCCUGAUUUCAGGUUUAAUUUUAAGAUUUAAAUGACUGACUCCUUAGCUUGCUCAGUUGUAUUCUUUGUCUCUGAUUACUUACUCCAUAGAACACUGCUUACCUUUAAAUAAAAUGUAUUAAACUCCUUUGUUUUCAGAAUCUCUAAUAUUCAUGCCUAUUGGGGAUUCAUACCCUAAUAACUUGGGCUACUAGUCUGUCAUAAAAUAUAAACUCCAGCCAUAUUAAAUAUGGUAGACUUGCCCUAAAAGUCAGAUUUAUACCUUCAAUAUACCAUGGAAUUUGUAAUACAAAUAAAUUCCUUUUUUUAUAUUGGUUUUAAAAUAAGAAAUUGUAGUCUCUUGAGUUCUAGAGUUUCUGUAAGAACAACAGAAGGAAUGCUCAGCUAAUGUUUAGUACCCAUAUGCUUCAUUAAAGUGACCAGAUGUCCUGCAUUUGUCAAGGGAAAAGGGGAAUUGUUUUCUUCUCUCUCAAAUAUCUCCUUCAAAAAGUCUAUCAUGGAUACAUUUUGUGCCUUCACUGCCCUUUUUAAAUAAUUAUUAUUCAUGCCUUACUAUAAGAACAUUACAACUGGUAACAAACUGCUUUUAAACUUGGGGUUUCAGAUUUUCUAAAG